UAGUCCACGCAGUAAACGAUGAAUGUUAGUCGUCGGGUAGCUAGUCUAUUCGGUGAUGCAGCUAACGCAUUAAACAUUCCGCCCGGGGAGUACGGUCGCAAGAUUAAAACUCAAAGGAAUGGACGGGGACCCGCACAAGUGGUGGAGCAUGUGGUUUAAUUCGAAGAUACGCGAAGAACCUUACCUGGCCUUGACAUAUUUUAGAAUUCUUUAGAGAUAGAGAAGUGCCUUCGGGAGCUAAUAUACAGGUGCUGCACGGCUGUCGUCAGCUCGUGUCGUGAGAUGUUGGGUUAAGUCCCGCAACGAGCGCAACCCUCGUCACUAGUUACUAACGGUUCGGCCGAGGACCCUAGUGAGACUGCCUUCGCAAGGAGGAGGAAGGUGAGGACGACGUCAAGUCAUCAUGGCCCUUACGGCCAGGGCAACACACGUGCUACAGUGGUCGUGACAAAGGGUCGCUAAUCUGCAAAGACAUGCUAAUCUCAUAAACACGGCCUCAGUUCGGAUUG
RNAcentral lists this ribosomal RNA (509 nucleotides) under uncultured bacterium. RNAcentral describes it as "bacterial SSU rRNA". It matches the Rfam family "Bacterial small subunit ribosomal RNA", at positions 791 to 1300 of the family's 1533-position model. The record is from RNAcentral.